This 274-nucleotide ribosomal RNA is filed under the name uncultured bacterium. Its description in RNAcentral is "partial 16S ribosomal RNA". It matches the Rfam family "Bacterial small subunit ribosomal RNA", at positions 523 to 796 of the family's 1533-position model. The record is from RNAcentral.
AUACGGAGGGUGCAAGCGUUACUCGGAAUCACUGGGCGUAAAGCGCGCGCAGGCGGUUUGAUAAGUUGGAUGUGAAAUCCUAUGGCUCAACCAUAGAACUGCAUCCAAAACUGUCAAACUAGAGUCUGGGAGAGGAAGAUGGAAUUAGUUGUGUAGGGGUAAAAUCCGUAGAGAUAACUAGGAAUACCAAAAGCGAAGGCGAUCUUCUGGAACGGUACUGACGCUGAGGCGCGAAAGCGUGGGGAGCAAACAGGAUUAGAUACCCCAGUAGUCC